Molecule: ribosomal RNA, 459 nt
Filed under: uncultured bacterium
Lineage: Bacteria
Description: partial 16S ribosomal RNA
Rfam family: Bacterial small subunit ribosomal RNA
Source: RNAcentral
CCUACGGGUGGCAGCAGUGAGGAAUAUUGGUCAAUGGACGAGAGUCUGAACCAGCCAAGUAGCGUGAAGGAUGACUGCCCUAUGGGUUGUAAACUUCUUUUAUAAAGGAAUAAAACGAGGCACGUGUGCCUUUUUGCAUGUACUUUAUGAAUAAGGAUCGGCUAACUCCGUGCCAGCAGCCGCGGUAAUACGGAGGAUCCGAGCGUUAUCCGGAUUUAUUGGGUUUAAAGGGAGCGUAGAUGGGUUGUUAAGUCAGUUGUGAAAGUUUGCGGCUCAACCGUAAAAUUACAAUUGAUACUGGCAGUCGUGAGUACAGUUGAGGUAGACGGAAUUCGUGGUGUAGCGGUGAAAUGCUUAGAUAUCACGAAGAACCCCGAUUGCGAAGGCAGCUUACUAAACUGUGACUGACAUUGAUGCUCGAAAGUGUGGGUAUCAAACAGGAUUAGAUACCCUAGUAGU